UCUUGUGUGAGAAAUGAUGACAUAUAAACAUUCUUCAUACCCAAGUGAAGACAUGAGAUCCAACUCUGAGCUCACCAUGCUGCAAAG
Molecule: small nucleolar RNA, 87 nt
Filed under: Loxodonta africana (African savanna elephant)
Lineage: Eukaryota; Metazoa; Chordata; Mammalia; Proboscidea; Elephantidae
Description: Small nucleolar RNA SNORD19B (ENSLAFG00000033090.1)
Source: RNAcentral